CUCAAAUAAAUGCGGGGAUGCCUCGGCUCGGAGCAGUCGGCCGCCUCCCUCCGCGCGCUGGACGCUCCGCCGCCGGCCGCCCGCAGGUAGGGAGUGCGUCCGCUCAAGGGCCGCGCCCGGUCCCUCGGGCUGCUCCUGUCCGCGCGCCUCCCCUCCCCCGGCCAGUCCGGCUCCGCUCCGAGGGCUUCGGCGCCUAGACGCGGGCAGAGGAGGGAGGGAAGUUGGUGAAGACCCUGGGCUUUGGGAAGUGGCCUUUUGUGCGGGCGAUUUCUGAGAAGGCACAGCGUGGGAAGACGAGGGGUCGAGGAGGCACAAACUCAGACUGAAUCUGGGCUCUGAGCACAGUUGGAGAGUUCGGUGGGGCCCCUAAGCUACUGGAAGCCAAGACAGGCCCCUGCAGCCCUCCGAGCUGGGGAUUGGAUCCCAGGGCCGCGGGUUUCCCAAAGACAGUGGGGAGGUGGAGGGUGGGGGAACGCCCUUGGCCUCAGAGUCUGGAGUGCGGGUCAGCGGGAAACGGCGUGCUGAUACCGGGCGGCUUCAGAGGCAGAGCCCGGAGCGUGGGUUCAGAGGCCAGUCUCAGCGGUCCCCAGGACGCCCGCAGGCCCGGGCAGCGCUGCGGCGGGCGCCCCUCGGGGGCAGGAGAGGGGCAGCGCCUCGUGGAGAAGCGAGGGAACUUUUCAUUCUCACCGCAACAGGCGGCUUUUAGCCAUUCUGUACAGGCGCGCCUGGCUGCAGGCAGGUUCGGGAGGUUCUGGGGUUACAGGCUGGGUCCGGUAGGAAGAGACAGAAAGCGGCCAGGGGCCGUUUAUCACCCCGGUCUCGCCGCGUUGGCCCGGAGCAGGGCGCGCCGCGGUGUCGGAGGACGUGAGUUUGGAGGACUGAACAGAGCCGACCGCAUCCUUCCGCUGCCUGCAGGAAGGCGCCGGCUCGGAAAACUAGUAGUUCCACGCUGCUAGUUGAAACUGCAGGAGCCCCGGCUUCUGAGGGAAGGGUGCGAAAAAGGUAUCUUUCCUCUGAGGUUUCCCAGGUGCCCCACCCCCCGAAAUCUGCAUCCCCACUGGGGAUUUCCCUCUACAGGCUGGAUAACUGGCCUUAUGAGAGGCCAGCGUCCGCCGGGUCAUUCUGGGUAUUUUGCCAGGCAGGGAGAUGCGGCUAAGUACCCGGCUCGAAAUUGCCUGCCACCACAACUGGAAAGCUAUUCCCCUCUGUGCCACAGUCACCAGAUCUCGAACCCAAAGGGCAGAAAUCGGUCCCGGUGAUUGGCAGGGUCAGUUAUAUGGGCACCUCCAGGUGUAAAGACCCUGGGCGCCCUCUCCCCUCCUUCGCUGGCGCCCCGGGCCGCGCGCCUUUGUCCACCGCGCCCAAGGCCGGCUGAGGAGCGCGCCCGACGCCCUCCGAGCCCGGGCUCCGGCUCGCGUGGCUGGUUAUCUUCCCUGAACAAGAUGGAACACCUGCAGGACACAAGGCGAGGCUAAUCGUUUUUAAAUAAUUAAUACCUCCCCGUUCCGCUGGUAAUGCGCGGCCUCGAAUGCGUCAAUUACUUGUCAUUAGACCAGUGUCACCCCACAGCCUUCCCUCGGGCCUUUGAUGGCGCCGUCACCUACCCUAGCCCACUCCCCAGCACAAUUAAAAGGUGCCCGGCCUUUGAAAGCCGGGUGGGAGUAGCCGCGGCCCUAAAUCAGCGCGAGUUUUGAAAGACCCACGCUGAAAAGAUGUUAUCUUCCAAAUGGCCAAUUUAAACGCCUGAUCUUUAUCGCCCGCCUUCUCUGGCUUUAUAAAAAGAAGCUGGUCCUCAGUGCUUGGGGGUCCUUUUACUGUGGGGGUGGGGCGAAGAGAAGGAAGAGAUAAGGUUUAACAGGGCAUAGGGGCACGUGUUUGCUCAAGAAGGCACCUGAAGGUACCUCGGGUAACUGGUUUUCUCAUCCUUCUGAGCAUGGGGGUCUGGAGUUCUUCUGGGCUUAGGAGGGGCGCCUCUCUAAGACAAGAUCUGGAAUGUGUAGACCAGAACUGUCCAGGGAAACUGGCAGGGCCUUUUCUGGUGGUGAAUCUGCACCCUGCAAGAGGCCGCAAGCAAAGGGAACCUUCUCUGGGUCCCCCAGUCACCACAACCCCGGUGUUGCAGAACAGCAAGAGCCAGCUAAUGCCCACAGACUUGUCGGCACCAAGUCCUGGACACACACCUUAGCACCACCAGCCCCAAUUCGCUGUCUCUGCUGUAGCAAAACAGCAAGAUUUGAGACCCUCAAUGUGUGUCCUGGGUCAGGGACACCUGGACACCAACCCUGGCAGCAGCACCAUGGCAACCAAGGCCAGCCAAGGGUUGGUGAGUGAAAUUUUAAAAAGACAAGAAAAAACUCCCCAAAAGUUUGCAACUCGAUUUAAUUGAUUUAAUUACACUUCUGCUUCUUCCUUCCUUCCCCAUCAAAUGUUCUUUUUACAGUAAAUAAAUAUCUGAGAGUCUCAGAGCUUUAAAUGCCCCCUUUUGAGCAAAAACAACGUGCUGUAUCUACCACCCUCCUUGACCGCAAAGACAUCUCUCUUCUCAGCUUUACAGCAGGCUGAGGUCACAAAGUUCUUAUAGCCUCUACCCCCAGGACUGGUUUUCCUCUGAGAAGAGGAGAAAAGAAAACAUGGGGAUGGAGAAAAAAAUUAUGGGGCCAGCGGGAGAAACGAUUUUAAAAAUGAAUGGAGAAAGGCUGACCGGAAGGUGCUGGUGUGUCCCCCCUACACACACACUGCCCCGCCUGGGGUUCCGGGCUGCUCUUUAGGCCUUCAGCCCAGACUCACACCCUCUCUGGGGCACGCCACACUGAUUGGGAUUCUUUUUGCUGAGAUGCACGGGACGUGGGCAGGAGGCUACAGGCAGCUCCAGAGACCAGCAAACAGACAUUGCACGGAAUAGAUGCGUGUCCCCAGUGGCACACAGCAGGGGCCCCAGCUCCUGGUGGGCUUCUCCCUUUGACAAAACUCCCAGGGAGCACUCUACCCACCCCCAGCACACCAGGGGUUGCCUCGGAAGCCUAAAUCCUGGGGCAUCUUCCCCAUUCUGUUCAGAGCCUUCCUGCCCACUCUCUUAUCCUUUUUCUCCUUUCUUCUUUAAAACAAUCAUGUGUGUCCCCCCUUGCCCCCUCCCGCUAUUGUGUUUGUUGAUGACCUAACACGCUCACACCAAAAGCCACACACAGAAAACCAACAACGUGGGAUGGGAGGAGAGACCAAUUAUGAUUGAGGCUAACAAGCGGGGAACACCCAAGUUGAGGCCGGCUGUCUCCUGGGAGACUGAUGGAGGCUUCUUUUACAAGCUGUCAUUCCAGCGUGGUCCCUAUUGCCAGACUGGAGGUGAUUCCUAUUCUCCCUUCCCCCUCAGCUCCGGCACCCUUGCAGACUGUUCCAGAUUCUUUGUACAUCCUCUGCAGAAGAAGCUGCCCCCAAAGUUCCUCUCGUGGACAGGUAGAGAGGGCAGGGGUGUGUUACAAGCACAUCUUCACAACAGUAUGCUUCUUUUUCACAUUAGCGGCUGUUCCUCAGAGCUCCAAGCUCACUGCCAAUGAGACAUGGACUGGUCAGAUGUCACUGUCACCCCCCCUUCCCAGGUUCCUAUAAAAGACAUUGACUUACCCUUUACACCUCUCUCAAAAGAAGGGAGUAUUUUACUGCCAGAUACCACAACCGAUAGCUGGGAGUGCUGAAAGAAGCAACACAAAUUAAGUUACAUUCAUUCACGGCAAACUAGAGGUCUCAGGUUCUCAUUAGGGCAAGGGCCUGGAGUUUAACUCUCUCCUGAAGCUAAUUGCAGGCAGUAAUACUCCCUGUGCUGCCAGGAGACCAUGCCAGCAAUGCCAUAUUUAUUUAACUUAUACACAUCAAAUUAACUGAGAGGGAAAAUUUCAGAAUCACAAACAUACGUGUGUGAGGGAGAAAUACUGGAGUGUUAUGCACAUUAAAACUUUGGAAGGACAACUGUUUGCUGUUUCUAGUUCGACUUGCUUAAGCUGUUCCACUUCUGCUUGUUUAAAUGGUAGACGACUAGAUUUUCUGCAUAGGUAAAUCAGCUUGUCCAUUGUUUCAUUUAUUUGAAAAGAAUAAAACGUAGGUUUCAAGGAUAAGCAGGAGUGUUUUUGGACUAGGGUUGGUUGGUAAUGACCCCAGGGAAUUUUGAUUGCAUGCAUGUCAAUUUUGACUUGCUAUUUCAUUAGAAAUAUGAUCUCAAAUCAUUAUUCCUUGUCUUUUCACAAAGCAGACAUAAUUAUGCAAUGGAUUUUAUUGGGAAAAUUUUGCUCGCAUAAAGAAAAGCAUACAGUGCCUAAUUUGAAAACACAAAUGUUAAAAGUGCAUUACUUGAAAGUAGAAAAACAUGAUCUUGGGAAGUGAUUGGAGAAGGGGCCUUGGGAGGAGCUAAGGCAUGAAGUGGGUGGCUGGAGAACUGGAGAAAGUAGAUAAUAAUUAUAUGACAUUUUCUGGGAGGGAACAGGGUGAAGCGUCAGCCAGGGCAGGACUUGAGUUAUAGGGAACUCUGUAUGGAGGCCUCAGACAUCUUUAGCAAAGAAAUCAGGAUGUCCACAUGUGUGCGCUCUGCUAUAAAAUGUAUGACCCACUCUGCUUGCCUUACUUUCUAAAUCCCAACCUAAGAAAUUUAAAAUAAAGGAGGCCAAUUCCUCCAUAUAUAUUCCAUUUAGUCUGUGAUUCUGAGCUAUGUUAAACUGAGCUGUUCACACACAGACAGAAGUUGUAACUUCAACUAUGUGGCGACUGAGAAAACUUACCCUCCACCCAGAAAAGUGAGUCUGUUUCUUGGAAAAAUUUGCCCUUCUUUCUACCAUCUUAGUGUUCCUCAUCUCCCACCCCCCAGAUAGGUCCCUCCCUCUCUUUUCUUUAUCACAACUGUAUUCAAUUCAACUACCACUGAGUGGGGUUCCCUAUGUGCCAGGCCCUGUGAGGGGGUCUUCAUGGACAUGACCUCCUCGUUGAAGCUUCCCAACACCCCCCAUAAAUGUCAGAAUUUAUGGGUGAUGGGCCUGGGCCCGAGAGAAACUAGGGAACCUGCUCCAAUUUCAGAACUCAGCAUUGAACUUAAGUCUUUCAACCAUGCUUUCAGCUUCUCUCGGCUUCAUAUGGCCCUGGGCACAGACCUCUCCAAUUCCAAUGCAGUAGGAACUGCCUUUGCCAGAAUCCUCGAGUUUUCCGAGUGAGCUGCUGUUGGUGGAGGGGGAAGCCUGCGAUGUUAGCAGAAGGCUGGAGAGAAAUGGGAAAAUCUCAAGAAGAAUAGGGGGGGGAGGGUCCUUCUUGGAAGGAUGGCAGAGACCCCACCCGCUGUCCUAGAAGGGGUUAGGAUGGGUCAUAUCUGGGAUCGGGCUGGAUUCUUAUUUUCUCUUUUGGAACAACACAGUUAGAAUUUCCAGAGCUGGCCAGAGGUUCAGUCAGGCCUGGGGCUGACUCCUCCCCACUGAAGCUUCAGGGGCCAGCUGGCUAAUGCUGGAAGGAGGUGACCGGGAGAGAAUGAGCAGCUAGAUGGCUCUUGCAUUGUGAUUAGAGAGAGAAAACGCCCGAGAAGAGAAAAAUGUCGGGGGUAGAAACAAUGCCUUGACACGGGCUUAAAACAGUCCACAUAGCCGAAUUAUUUCUUGUGAUGCAGCCUGUCAGCCUUGUUGCUUAAUGGGGAUUCUGGAGCAGGGGCCAGGAGUUUCCCUGAGAGAGUCUUGCCUCUGACCUCCCCCUGACCUGCACCUGGUGGCCUGAAGCACAGGUGACAGCACAGCUGGAAUUCACCUACCGCCCACAGCUGGGCUCCUUGCCCCCACCCCAGCUGCAGGAACAGCAAGGUGCCAGCCCCCACAGCUCGCCUCCCUCCACCUAUAUACAAAUGCAGAUCUGGAUAAACACCUGCUGGAGCUUUGCCCCUGAAGAGGAUGCUGGCCCAGGAGGACUGGCCUGCCUCCAUCACAGAGGGAAGAUGUGGCCCAGCACUCAGCAGGCCUGUAGUCUGGGAGAAGAGUGCCAUCCCAGCUGAGUGCUCACUGCUAAGCUACACACGAGCACAUGGACGUGCAAACAAAUGAUUGCUGACACUUGCUUGCACCAGGCCCUGGGGCCAUUUGGCCCUGGGACUGAGCGCUGGCCCUCCUGAUAACAGGGAUUCAGACUUGGUGUGGAGGUCCCCUUUUCAACAUACUGGAAGACACUUUCCCUGGACUGUCUGUUUUUAGUGGUGUAGGAUUUCCUGCAGACUUAUUAGCAUCUCCCAUUUUGGGAUUUUGGGGGAGGCUCUGGACAACUAAAGGCCAGCUCCACCCACGAUGAUGUCUAGGGCACGCUCUAGGAAUGGGAUGGAGUUCUGGAUUAAACCAUACUCCCCACUCCAAACUGGACAAUGGAGGCAUUAGACUAAGGUGGGGAGAAUGCCUCCAGAAUGCCACAGCUACCCACACUCAGAUUAGGUGCUGGGCCGUCUAAAGACUGCAAGAGAAGGGGAGAAUGCAAUCUUAGGACCGUUUAUGGGGGCAAGUUGGGGGCAGGUAUGCAAUCUAUAUUUUGUUCACUCUGCAUUUUAAUUACCACUUUCCUCCCACCAGCAGAGUUUGCCAAUUAAAGGCCAAUCUCUCUUGAUUUCUUUGCUUUAAAAGGACAUUUCGAUUCAUCCAGGCAGACAAUGAAAUCCCCCUCUGGCCUCUCCCUUCCCAGAGCUCAGGAACAAGCUGCCUCCCUAUCUCCUUCCGGCAUCGAGCAGUGGGAAGGAGCUGAUCUCAGGUGCUAACCUGCAGUUAUCAGAAUGCCAGACUCAUUUAGGGAGCUCAACUGCAGAACCGAGGCGAUCCUUUCAUUGAUUGUGGAAAGUGCUGUUUAGAUUUUGCUUCUGCUCAGUAAACAACUAAAAGUAACUGAGGGAUUUCUCCCUUGCAUUCAGCGCUCUCUCUUUCUCUCUUUCUCUCUCUCUCUCUCUCUCUCUCUCUCUCUCUCUCUCUCUCACACACACACACACACACACACACACACACACACACACAUCCUUCCUUCCCUCCCUCAGGCUCCUAUUAAUCACGAAGGGUCAGUGAGACCGUGGUCUGUUUCUAACGCCCUCGGCUAACCUCCCCCCACGCCUGCGCCCCCCAGCAGCCGCGUCUUUUGGGGGCGCUACGCCUUCCGGGGAGGACUCACGUCUCCCGCAAAGGACAUAGCCUCCCAAGUUCCUAAAUCUGUAGGGAAAGCUCCUGAGAAAUGGUUGUCCCUUUGGGCCACCUCUGAAAGUCCCCACCUGGCUAGAACACAGGCCAAGGGCUUUUCCGGGCCGUCCGCCCCAGCCCCUGCCAGCGCCCUGGCCACCGGGACGCCUGGCGGCUGAGCCCGCGGGCCGGGCCGGGGCUGGGGCGGCGCUCGCCGGCUCUGGACGCGGCCGCUCGCGCCCCGAGACAGGUCUCUUCGGAGGUAAAAGCGAAUUAAAUUGGCAAACUUACUCCGAUGAUGACACUUUUAAGAUUCUUAGCAAGAUCCCCAUUUACGUAUAGUAAAAAGGAGAAGACUGUUCCCAGGGUCCAUAAUUUGCUGGUCUGUGAAGAGACCGCCUGUUUUAAUCAGGUCCCCUCCUUUAGCUUUCUCUCUCGAAAUAGGUUCGCCCUGAAGUGAUCGUCUCGAACGUGCAGGUUCUGCCAUCUGUUUGUGUGAAAUAAAUAGAAAGACAUAAGUGCCAGUCAUCCACAAUAUAAAAGAUUAGUACAAAUCCUAAACAAUGAUUAUUUAAAAUUCAAUUUAAAAAGUCAAAUUAUAAAGAAGAGUUUUCCUGAACACUUUCGACGCAAUCAGCCUGUAAUGAGUAUAUUUUCAAAAAAUUAAGAAGUUUCUUUUUCAAAGCCUGUAUUAUUUCAAAUGGAAUUCUCUUGUUUGCUUAAACACUUUUCACAUGAUAAAAAAUAUUUUUCAAAUUAGAUCACCUCAACUUAAAAUACAGUUCUCCAAUAUCAGCCAGCCUCAAGCAAGAACGUUUUUUAAAAGUCUCACAAAUCUAAUUUUUGGAUCCAUUCUUCCCAAGAUGCCAAAUCUCUACUAUCUUUUAAUUUCUUAAAUAGCUACUUCUGUCCAUGAGCUCUCCAGGGUAAAAAAAAAUCCUAUAAAAUAAAACAAACAUUGUAAUUUAUAAAUUCUUAGGAUUUCAAAUGGAAAUCUCGUUCACAGUAUCGAGUAUUCCACAGUAAUGGACGUUAAGGAAAUGAAUAUUCUUUUUUAAUGAGGGAUAAUUCCUGACACUACAUAACUUUUAUUAUAUGAGGUACACUUGGACAAACCAACAAAGCGUAUCAUUUCUUUGCUCGUUGCCUCUUCCAGUACAAUUUAUAAUGGAGUAUAAAUGCAUUGGGGACUUGAUGUAUUUAUUAUGUGCCAACCUAUCUGUAUAUUUGAUGGAGUUCAACUAUAUCUUUGCACAGUGUGCAGUCCAUGCUGUGUCCUGAGGAAAGGAAAGAAGAACAUAUCGCCAUCCUCGUGGCUCGGUCUUUGGUGCAGCUGUUCACAGGCAGCUCACAGCAUCCUCACUCCAUUGUUAUUGACAGUGCUAUUUUGUUAAAUAGCAGCUUUGAUAUGAUGAAACCUAAUUAUCCAAUUUCACUUCAUAUUUUCCUCUAAAUUAAUGUGUUUUAUAAAAUAGCUCAAUGGUGUUAAUUAAACCUCUACUUACAAAGACGAUUUCUUUGUAUUUCUCAAUGUUUGUCUUUCUAGAUAUGAAACAUAUUAAAACAUGUUUUUGAGGGAAAUGAACAUACUGAUCAUUUUUUGGACCAUUUAAAACUUUUAAUAAAAUAUAGAACAUGUUUCUUGGUAAAAAUAGAAUAGAUUCUAUGUAGAAUAAGAAUUUAUUUUCUUUCCCCCUUUCCUGUGUGCAAUGUUUGUGCAGGUUUCCCCACACCUGGGAGUAGUUUAGAUAUUUUUUAAUAGUUCACCACCUCUGGAGCCCAGGCAAAGUCGAGAUAAGUUUUGAAAAAUAAUUCAGGAGAAACCUGCAGGUAUUAUUGGGACACAGGAUGGAACCUCCCACGGCACUGUGAGACAAGCGACAUUGUUUGGUGCAAGGGGUGAAAAACACGACCUAACAAUGUUUACAUGUGUAUUCAGCCAUGAAAUUGAAUAUUAUCAAAGUUGAAAAAAUGCAAAUCAAAUUAAAACCAGAGAAAUUUGUCUUUGGAAUUACAGCGGCCUGAAGCCCCCAAGUGUUUGCUUAAAUUGAAGCAUUUAGAAAAUGGAAAACCUCUAAAUUGCCCCCCUCUAUUACCCGCUCCCCCACCCCAGCUAGGUGGAAAUUUGUUUCUUAAUUCUGCUAGAGUUGUAUCCAGGCUCAGGCAUCAAACACGCGCCCUAGGCAUCAAUCACUUUGGAAUAUAACUUUUUCUUAAAAAUUAAAUGUCUCCCUUUACCUAAGUCUUACUAAAGUCGGACCUGUUUCAGAAACCGAGCGGCAGCCGCUUGCUUCAUCCCGAAAUGAGCCCCAAGCCGCUGGCUGCUGCACUCGCUUGUGCUCCCCGCGGAGACCCUCUGCGGAAGCCGCAGCCACCCAGGCGGCGCGCUCGAGCCCCGGCCGCCUGCUCGGCCCCCAGCCCGGGGUGGGCGCAGCCCGGGCCGCUCAGCCCCGCCGGGGUGCGUGUCGGCCGGCUGGGGCAGCCGAGCCUCCCGGCGCGUCGUCGGGCUUUCCCAUGUCGGCCAGCACAGGCGGCGGAGACGCGCGAAACUCGGAGAGGCGGCGGCGCGCCGUGGGGGGCUCCACCUCGCCCCCUCCCAUGCUCACUACGCUAACUUUCCAGGGUCUUAGUGGAGGAGGCCCAAAAAGGGAAAUGCCAGAUAAAUAUUCUUUAGAGAGAAAGAAAAAAAACUUCAAAAGCAAUAGGUAGAGGAAAGGUCAUUCUCGCCUUUUCCCAAGUUCUAAAGCGCAGGGAAGCGACCCUAGGCGGCCAACCCACCGGACGGGGCCAAUCCCACCCCCGUCACCUGGGCGCUGCAAACUUUAUUCCACUCUCUCCCCUCCCUCGUCUCCCUCCCGCCUCGGAGCAAACAAGGGCGCCCGGGUGCUCCCGCAGAUGCCAAGGCGUCACGUUGGGAGAGAGCCCGCACUGCCUGGCGGCGGCGACAGCAGGAUAUACGGGUGGACCGGCCUGGCGGCGCUCUGAGCGGACCUGGCCUGCCGUCAGGAGUGGGAGCAGGACCCAGCUGGGGUGGGAGCCCGACCGAGGCGGCCACGCCCACCAGCCUUAACUGGGACUGUGGUGGGCGCUGGGGAAGCCAGCAAUAGCUAGGAUGUGCUGGCGUGGCCUUGGAACAACUUGCAUCUCAUUCGGUGACCUCUGAGGAUUUUCAUAUCGCCCCGCAGCCUGCCCUUCCUCCCGUUCUAAAACCCAUCCACCCUAUCGCAUCCCAAGAGCUGGGUGUCAGGCCCGGAUCUCCCAGGGCGGUCUGGCUUUUUCUCCUCCAGGGAGGGAAGACAAUGGGUGGCCUCUGUGUCACUUGGUCCACCCUCCUGGCCUCCUCCUCAGUGCUCGUAGAUUUGAGGGACAGCCCCUGUUUCCAGAAACGCAGUAUCUUGCGUCCAGCCAACCCGGAUCGGGGCAGGGAGAGGAGUAGCGGAAGCCGAUUUUUAUUUGAAACCUGCCCCUGUAUUUCCUUUCCAGGAACCCCUGGAUCAAGACCAGCUCAACUGUGGCUGGGAAAACAGACCCAUGUUCCCCAGAGUUUUUAACUUGCCCAUUAGCUGUGGUCGUGUUUUGGAGAUUCGGAACCUUAUUUCCAAGGAGAGUUGUGAGGGGCAUGUUUAUAUUUAUUUCAAAAACAAGCAAAGGAAAUAGCAGUCAAUUAAAAUGAAAUAUUUUUAUUUGCCUCGCGCGUUGUCAGUGAUUUGCCCCCGGGGAUCCACAAUUUUCCCAAGCCUGUUAACGGGUGACAAUGAAUGAGUGUCUCGUGUAAUUUAAUUUUCCUGUCACACUAAAUAGAGCUACAUUGUAAACCUUAGAUCUAGUCUCACUGAUAGGAUCGCCUUGUUUUGCCAUUUGCACCAUAAAGACCCCCAAAAGGGACACUGUAUUGUGACCUCUACUCUUGAAUUAUUCAAGAACUUAAUGACUUUUUCCAUUUUAAGAAGGGAACUAAUUGCCAUUGAUGUAAAGCGUGUGACCUUCUCUGGCGCCCACUAUGAGAAUGUAGCCAUCUCUGUGUGGAUACAGGAGCUGCAGAGGCACAAAUCAAGAGAAAGACGGAAACAGAAAUGAGCUGCACACACACUGGAAUCGACGUAUUAAUUCAUUCCACCCCAAGCCAUGAUGUAUAUUUCUACAAACUUCUCUUACUUGACCUAAAAUCUGUAUAAAAUCUCACAUCAACUCAGGCCUGUUUUGGGGGCAUGACAUAACUUUUUAGUUAGGAAAGGAACACAAACUAUUGAAAUUCAGUAUUUCUUCAUUAACGUGAAAUUACUUUGUGUAAUGUCAAGCAAAAUAUCUAAUAAUCUGCUCGCCGCCUUCUUUUUUUUUGGCUUUUCUUUACUUUUUUACUCAACAGGAAAAAGAAACACAACUGUAGAGAAAUGGCAUCUCAGUCUUUGCUGUUCGAAUGUCUUGAGUUUCCAGAAAAGCCACCAUUGAAAUUCUUCAGUACCAGAAUUCUCACUCUUCAAAUUACUUGAAAAUGGAUGCUUAUCUUUCCUCAAAGUGAAAAGACUCCCAGGGUACUUGCUACUGUCCUUUCACUCUUUCCCUGGCCCCUGGAAGGAGAAAAGAAAGAAAAAUGGGCUUCUAGCAAAGUUCUUUGGCUUCGUAAAUUCACCUGUCAGUGUACAAAGAUGCUCUGAGGCUUUUCCUGAUUUUCUUAAGUCCACAGCCAAUAGUAACCGUUUUAAAAGUGUGAGAGGAUUGGGAAAGAAAAGCACUUUCCUGUGCUGGGCUCCACAUACUUCUUUUGAACUUUUAAGUGAUGCUUGAGACAUGAAAUCGUCAUUUCUGCAGAGAACAGACAGUUCCUUUCAAAUGACACUCUCAGCAAACACCCUGGCUUCACUGAGAAUGAACAUCCUCUGUUAGGCUGUGAGUCUCAUCUCUGUCUGGUAGCAUUUCUAGAAAAGAAGAUAAAGUACAUUUGAACCCUAACUGUAUUCUAAAGAGUCCCAAUUUAUACCCACAUGUUUGACACAAUUGCCGCUGUUGCAGCUGGAGUCACUUGCAGAACAGAAUGCCCAACCCUCCAUCCAUGGAAGCAUAGUACGUGCUAUUUUAAAGGAGGUUGUCAUAAACCCGUCAUGACCUAAUUUGGUAACAGAGCAACUGUUUUCAUGUUUCUUUCAAAGAAACCUGUGUCCCUCCUUGGUAUUUGAUGCUCUUUGUGUAGAAUAGCAUGACAGAAAAAAUUGGAUAAAAACACAAAGUUCUUAGUGUUAAACAAUAAGGACAUACUUAAGAAACAUAUUUGAAAACAUUUUCAUGUCACGAAAAGUUGGAACGCGUGUGGAAUGAGUGGGGAUCCAUCUUCUUGCGUGUUUCCUGUGAUAAAAGCAGCAUUUUAUGGAUGAAAUGUUAAUUUAGUUUUAGAGACUUUUCACUUAGUUCUCCACAUUUAAAAUGUUUUCAACCACUUGAUGUAGACUACAGAACACAGAAGAAACUGUAUGUGCCUCUCACAGCAUGGCUAUACUCUCUCUAGCAUUCUAUGGUAUUAUCAGCCGGGCAUUUUUCCAUGGUGACAGUAUGUGUUCAAAAUGAAAAUUUCAUUCACCUUUCAAACUGUCACCAUGGGUAAUAAGUUAUGGUUAUUUUUCUUUUCAUCUUAAAAAAUAACUCUCUUGAUCUAGGACCACUCAAAGGACAUUUUGAGUGCUGUGGAAAGUUUGUGGCGUCUUUAAAGGCAAAGCAAAGCCCUCUCUUGACCCAUUUCUAGCUCUCACCCUCUUCUGAAAGGAUUUGUGUUGACAAUUCAGAGAGCCAGAAUGAGGAAUUUUAUCUUCACUGCGCUUGAGUGGAUGGUUCUAGAAGGGUGUGCAAGAGAUUCUGAUUAGAGCCCUGUUUCAUCCAGUUCCCAUCCCAGCUCUCUCCACCCUCCAAAAAAUAAAUAAAUAAACAACUGUGAAAAGUAUUCCCAUUUGGCCUUUAUGAAAGGGCAAACUAUCCCAUGGGGCAGGGAUGACAUGUCAGUUCUCCCUCUGUAAAAUGAGUCCCUUAUUUCUCCAUCAGGCCUGGUGUGAAAGGACGCACCCGGGCUUUGCAGUUGUGUCUUUUGGUAUUGAUGGAGAUCAAGAACACUCUGCACUUUGGUUAUUUUUAAAGAUGCUGUGCGCCUUUAGGGAAGAAUGAAGCAAUUUUCGAGAGGAAAGUAAGCUUAGCAUACCCAGGUGGAUAAACAUUAUCAGGCAAACUGUACUUACUCAUAUAUAAUUCCUUCAGUUUUCCAGGUUCUCGGAGGUAGUUGACACUGCAGUAAGCCAACAGCUUCUUAGUCCAUUACUUUAUCCCCAGCCAAGAAGACCAAUAGGUGCAUAUUUUCACUCUCAUUCCUGAAUUCAUUCACACCCUUUGUCUCCUUCUUUAAAGAUUUUGAACUGCUGAUGUAUGUUUUUAAAAAUGCCAGCACUAACAAAAGUUGACGAUAACUUUCCAUCUUAUUCUGUUUAUCUGAAUGCAUGCACCUAAAUAUAUUUACUGGACUUCUGACUGUCCAUUUUUCUUCCGUGGGAAAUGACAUAAAGAUACCUCAACUUUGACAUAAUUACUAAAAAUACUUUUUAAAAAACCUCAAUUUCUUCUGUUUAGUGAAUAUUUAUUUUAUGAACAUGGGUUGCAGUCUGACUCUGUGUCAGCAUUCUGCUUAUGCAUGGAAUGGUGUCCCUGACUAAGAAGAUAGUUCUAAUGUCUCUCAACAAUGACAUUUCCCAGCAUGAGCAAAUGUGUCUGUGGAAGUAGAAACACCCUUUUCUGGCGUGUUCUCUUCCCUCAUGGAGUGCAGGGGGUACAGAACUCCUAAAGGAUUUUCUGUGUGAUGGAUGAAGCUGAUGUGUUAUCGUACUGGUUCUCUAGGAUGCUAAUUAAGUGUUUAAAUCAUGGAGUAAUUAAACCAUGGAUAAAACAUACCUUGAGUUCACUGAGGCUGAUGCUCUAAGCAUAGGAGGUGUCAAUUUUGUCAUGAGGAAUACAGGGAAUUUUCAAAACAUGCCAUCAGGAUAUAGUUCAAUUUUCCAACAAAAUUCUAAUGACUGCCUAACUCUUCUUGACUCCAUUCUUAUGUUUUCUCUAAAUUUGCUUAUUCACAGCUGCUGGAACAAAAAGAUGAGAUGGAAGCAGGACAUUUGUUUUCCUAAGGCCCCAUCUGACUGAAAGUGCAUGAGCUUCUCUCCACGCUGACCCUUGACCAUCACGAGUGUCCCAAAAGGGCAUACCCCUGCUGCCAGAUUGCUCCUGGAUGCUUUCCUCAGAGUUUCCUAUGAAUAUCAACUGAGGAAUGAGACACAAAAGCAGCCCGUUAGCAGAGAGGCGACGGGCCACGUCCAGAUGUGUGCUGGGCGAGAACAUGGAGUUCUCAGGAUAAGGAAAGAGGGCGCAUAAAAGUUGAGAUGCGCAGACUUGUACCAAACCACCAGGCCACCAACUAUUAGAAUUUGUCAACACAAAGACAUUUAAAUAUAAAAGUGUUGACUUGUCCUGCUGGACAAAUUGAGGUUGUAACAGUUACAUUGCCCAAGUGGACAUUUAACCUCCCCUGAAGUUACCAAAGCUUACCAUGAAUGAAUAAUGGUGAAUGGUGAAUUCUUAUGAAUCUCUCAACUAAGAGUAAGCAACUGGCCUAAGACAUCAUUACUUUUCAAUGAUGAGGAAAAGUCCACUAAUUCAGAGUGAUUGUUUGGGGCAAAAGAUGAUCCAGUACCCACCCUUUGUAGGGCUUUCUUUGCUGGCUGAUAAAACAUGGGAGAUGAGCCCCUGCCUCAUGGAAAGGAGAGUAGUGGCCGACGUUUAAACGGCUGUGAGCCCCCGAAUGGGCAGAGCAGGCUCACUUUUCCCCCAAGGAGCCCUGAACAUAACAGGACACGAACAGCCCAAGGCACACCCACCAAUGCCUCUGCCAUCUGCCCACAUUGGCACACAUAUGCAGUGCUGACUGACAUUCCAAAAGGAAGGGAGUCCCCAGGACCAGCAUGGCCAGCAUGCAGAGAGCAGUACUGUUCUGAGUACCAUUCCUCAUUCUUGGGGUGAGGAAGAGGCUAAAAGGGAUGGAACUCAACUCGUUUAAAGUAAGAAAUGUCAACCCCAAGGGGCGCAGGGCACCUCUCCCUCCCUUUUUGAGACUGAGUGUCCUUCACAAGCUGGCCAUUUGCUGCACGGGGUUUCUAACAAAAUGUGAUUUUUCAGUGUGCUUUGUGUCCGUGGAGAGGCUUCAGAAGGCCCUUGAAGUCCUCAGCCUUAAAUCCAUGUUAACAGGGGGAGGCUUUUCUUGCAGGGUGGGGAGGUUUGGCUGGGAGAAGCCUUGACCCAGCCUGCACUCUAGAUAAACCAGGGCAAAAGACCUCUCUGGUCUGCAGGGCGCUUAUUAACCACUGCUCGUUUGUGGGAUCAAUAUUUCCAGCAAAGGAGUCAACGCUCAAGAGCCACCACUAUGUCUUGUUUUUUUCCUUGACACACUUUUAUAAAUGCAUCUGCCAGAGAAGAAAAGGCAGUACGAGGACUGUGUCUUUUAUCUCCAGGAUAUGCAAAGCACAUUUAUUUUCAGCUUUUAUCUCCGGAAUUGUAUGUUGAUCCCAUACAUAUAGAUUGAUUUUGUUCAGGUAGAUAAUGAAAAGUCAAGUGGAAAAUUACACAAUGGCACUCACGAUCCUGGUCUUAUAUUGGUAUAUAAAUUGGUUUAUUAUUUCAUUCUAUUAAAGAGGCUUUUUUUUUUUUUUUUUUUUUUGGUACCAGGAAAACUUCCAAAUACAACAUGCUGUCAGCCUUACUGAAUUUUCUUUUGGGAGAGGCGGUGGGAGGGGGAGCGGACUGGGCAGAUUCCCUCUGUCCCUUUGCUAAUUGUAUCGGCUAAAUGCGCUUCCACAGAGGAGGGUCCCUGCGGCUUUCUCUCCCCCAGCGCGCUUCAGUGUCACCACGUGGUUUCUCUAACUCUGGGACUUCCCUGGGCCAGAACAAAGAUGUCCAUCACACACCGCCUCUUACAGAGGUGGAUAUUUUUUUCACCCCGGGCAAUUCUAAAUUUUUUCACGAUGAAUGAAAGAAGUGACCCCCCCUGAACACCAAGAGGCCAGGGGUGACGGGGUAGCAGCCGGAUAAAGGCCACCAUCAAGGGACAGCUCCGAGCCAGAAUCCUGGAGGAAACGUUAUUAAUAAACAUCUUCUGGACAUUUGGUAGCCUGUGCGCUUGCUCCAGCUUAAAGCAAUUAAUUCAGGACACUGACAUAAACUCUCCAGGUCUUUGACAGCUUGGAGCCGAAAUAAAAAUGCUAGUUCUCCGGGGAAGGGAAGAGGAUGGCUAGCUCUUUUCUGGACUGUUUGCUUAUAGGCCCAGAAGGCAACCUUCCUUGCAGAAUGAAAUGCAAGGGCACAAACAAUGUACCAGGGAGAGAAUAGAAGAUGGGAAUGAACAGUUUGAACUAUUUGCUCAGCAGAAGGGCACCACAAUGCCGAGGCAGUGGUUUUCCCAUGCAUCCACCGUCCGUUCUUUGGGGUCUUUUGUUGUCCCCUGUCUCUUUUGGCCAGAUAAGAGCACAGCUGCAGCGUGAGCUAAGUAAGGGCAAACUUAUUCCCCAGAUCUCGGGGUGCCUUUUCUGUAACCAGUUUGGCUCAGCUCUCUUUUAUUUCAUGUGCGGAUGGUGGGGGAGAGAAUGGAAGAAUGGAGGGGGCAGGGGAGAGAGGACUGGGACAUCGCCUGUGUCUGAUUCCUGAUUUUCUUUCUUUCUUUCUUAAACCCAGGCAGUGAUCAGACACAAUCUUUGUGGGGCAUUUAAAUGGAAGGGCUCAGCGAGUCGUACUGGUUGCCAGGCCAAAAUGUUGCCUUUUGGGGGAAGGAGGGGAAGGAGGAGUGUUAUGUGGUUCGGGCAAGGGGGGUGGUUAAGGCAGAAUUUGUCGCUUAAAUAAUCAGGCCUCUCUGGCGGCUGAAAAGAGGGAAAUGUUUUCAAUUAGCAAUUUAAAAACUGUGUUCAAUGAUGAUUUGUCACUUUUGAAAGUCAUCCUGGACUCCUCCUUUCUAUACUUAUUUUGUUCAGAAUCCUAAUCAAGAGAGGUUGCUGAAAUCAGAGCAAAACAGGAUGAACUGGAAGUGGGACAUAAAAGGUACUUGCAUAAUUGCCGUAAAUUACACCCCCAAUCAGAGUAAAUGUCACCUAAAUUGUAAUCAAAAUGUUCUUUCACAUUUGUUCUUUUGCAGUCAGGGCCUAUUUUAAACGCCAUAAGAGAAAGUAGAUGUGAUAAUAAGGUAAAAAUCAGCACAAAGUACAGUUUACAUUAAGUUGAUUUUAAAGUCAAAAUCUAGCACAAGUUUGUACUGCCUGGUGUGUGUUCCAAUUCAGCGGGUUUUGCCACCAAUGUCGGUUUUGGGAACCAGGCUACAAUGCUUAAUUCCAUUGUAAUAAGGUUAUUUAGCCUGAAUGGUUUUAUAAGGUGAAAAGGCAAAAAGUUUAACACCAAAGAAAAUUAAUGGUUUACUAUGAUUGCAUUAAACAUUCACAGGCCAGAAGCCCACCUGAGCGAAAUACACAGUUUCAAUGCUGUUGUGGGUUUUUUAACAAUGACAAACUCGCAGAAAAAAACCCUUCUGUAUAUUUUCCUGCUGGGUGGUCAGAAGGAAAGGCCACGAAGCUAAAGGCCUCCCAUUGAGACCCUGCUCUGCAAGGAGCCGACCUCACGUGCCGCCGCCGCGGGAGAUAAGAGCACCUGUCGGUCUCCGCGCUCGCUAGGCAGCGACUCUGCUGACUCUGCGCGCUUGGGCUGGCCACGCGCCCGCCGCACGGCCGGGACAGGGGCUCCCUGCCCGGAACCGUCCAGCCGUCAUGCCUGCGCCGGGCUCAAGACAUCCUGUGACUGUCCCUGUGGCCAUUGUCCGGUAGAGCUGCUAAGUAGUUUUAAUGCCAGUCAGGAAUUCAACUGGGUAGAGGAAGAGAGCUUGUUUCUGCUCCCUCGCGUCUAGGACCUCCUCUAGAAGGCUGAAAGCUCAUGUACUUACAAGUCCAGCAGUUGGUCCUGGUUGUUGGCUGGGGAACCAUUUGAGGCUGUCAGCUGGAACAUUACACAUGUGGCCUCUCCAUGUCGCCUGGGCUUCCUCACGGCAUGGGGCCUAGAGUCCAAGGAUGAGCAUUCAGAGACACAGAGAGAGGCAGCCAAGCCAAAGCCAUGCUGCCUUUUAUAACCUGACCUUGGAAGUCGUGCACUGGCACUUCCACCAUGUUCUGCUGGUAGAGGUAGUUAUAAAGGUCCAGCCAGGUUCAAUGGAGGGAACGUAUGCAGGCCCCACCUCUCGGCGGAAGAGGAUCGAUGUCUGUGAUUGAUUGUUGAUUGUAUAAUGUGGACUAAAGUAACAUAAGCCACUUCUGGAUCUAUGCAUCAGUCUCCACACGCCACCCACUCUUUCUUCCCGUGCAGUGGCAACUGUGUAUAAUAUGUGUUGAAGAUGACAAUGACACAAAAGUCGAGGAGGCUGGAUCCCUGAGUCAUCACCUGGAGGAUAACCAUCCAAUCCAUACUGACCUUCGUGAGUGUGAUAAUUAAACUUUAGUGUGUUAAUCCUCUGAGGUUUGGUAAUUGCUACAAGAAUUUUAUCCAUAUCCCCAAACUUCGUCUGAGCCCAGGUAUUUUUCUUCCUGUGUUAACAGCACGUCCACCAGGACUGCAAAUCUACGAUGAAAGCAAGGGACUAGGGGUGAUUUCUCCUGCCUCCUUUUGAUCUGUGCACCUCCCCACCGCUCCAAGUAGCAGUGAGCAGGGAAAUGACUGUGUGAAAGAGGAGAAGGAAGUCAUGGGACUGCCCAGGUCAUUGACCAACGGGAUCACUGACUUUAUACCAAAGGCCUUGGCCAAACCCGAAGGUGGAAAAUGGGCAAUGUUGACAGGGACGCAGUAAGUCUUCAGUGCUUCUUUGGACGCUCUAGGGGAAAUGGAGAUCGCGUGCUGGAAAUGAUCGGCAGGCACGUGUCUGCAGGGGCUUAGCACACCCGGAAGACACUGUCUGAAGGAGAAAGUGCGCCUGCCGUCUGUCCCAAUAAAAAGCCUGGGAAAAACACCUGCCAAGUGAUAUUUAGAACUGACAUUUUCAUAGGGAUCCAGGCAAUGGAGGGUUUUGCGGGGCCCAGAAAGCACGGUUUUCACUCUUUCUCCUCCUCAUUUUCUGUAACUGAACAAUGCGCACAGUGUUAACGUACAUUUAAAAUGACGUGCUUUAAGGAGUACAUUUUUAAAAGCUUUUUAUUUGGAAAUAGUUUUGACAAUAAUAAUGAUUUCAAUAACUACAAUUUAGUAAUAAUUGACAAUGACAAUAAUUUUAAGAAAUAAUAUUUCUUUUCUGAACCAUUUGAGAGUAAGUUGCACACAUCAUGGCUCUUUACUCCUAAAUAUUUCCUAUUUCCUCUUAAAUAUUUCAGUGUCUGUUUUCUAGGAAUAGAGAUUUUUAUGUAACUGUAGCACAGUUCUCAGUCUCAGUAAAUUUAACAUUGAUAAUAUUUUUUUCUAAUCUACCAUCAGUGUCCUGAUUUUAUCAAUAUUUUGACUUAAUAACGUACUAUUUAGCAUUUUCCCCCCUCAGCACGUGUUGUCACGUCUCUCUGAUUUCCCUUAAUCUAAAACAUUUCUACAGCCUUUAUUUGUUUUUUAUGAUAUUGAGAGUUUUGAAGAAUAACGUUUCUCGUUGUCACUUGUUCUGUUUCCUCGUGAGUGGAUCCAGGCUGCGCCUCCCCGGCCGACAUCCACAGAUGAGGCCGGAUCCUGCCCAGGGCCUCGCCUCAGGCGCACAGCCUCCGUUUCCUCUCGAGGCUGAUGUCGUUGUUAAUCAUGAAGGGCAAUGACGUCUGUAAAACUCUUAAGAAGAAGAGGCCUCUGAAGGUAUAAUUCUCUGAAAGCUAUUUUCUAAGUUCAAGUCUGUGGCCUUUCAGUCUCUAAGAAGGAAAUACUGGGUGUGAAUGUUUUCGUCUGGGAUACAGCCGGGCAGCUCUGUCCAGAGGGCAGACUGUGCUUCUGACCUGGAUCCUUGGGAUGCUGCUGGUUCUCCACUUCAGCCUGGGAGGGAAGACCAGGUCUGGACCCGUGCACAGGCAAACGCCAUGCCAAGCUGGGGUUUAGGCACCAAAGGAGGCCCAACUGGUGGUGCUAAGGUUUGGGAAACGGAAGCCCAGACUCUGUGUUUAUUCUCCAUCAAUUGGAAAAUUCCUGAAGGAGAACUUUGGCUGGAAAACGUCUGAAUAGGUGGAUGUCUCUGCUCUCUCGCCAUGGGUGCCGUCCUGUCUGAGGUUUUCGUAUCCUGAUGGGGGAAGAAGCAGACGGGGCGCUCUCUCCACUGUCACGGAUGCCGAGUGGAGAGGAGAGGCUACUACGUAGUCUCAGAGUCAGAAAAGAUCUUGAUACACUGGGCCUUUCCAGGAUGAAAGUCUACGCUGAGCAUCACACAUAACCUUGUGUAUUUCCUUGGUUCCAAGAGGCUUUCCUCUACCUUUUACUGUUUCUGGCCUUUGGAUGCAUCCUACACUCUGUGUCAAAGGCAACUAGCUGUUUAAUAGGUACGGUUGUUGUAAAUAGAAAAUCUACCCAUAUGCAGACAAAGGUUCAACUAAUUGUUGCCUUGUUCCUCCUCCACCAUUGGUUGCACUACACAGGAAUCUAUUUUCAUCAAUGUAUAAUUUACAUACGCUAAACUAUGUCCUUCUUGUUGUACAGUUCCAGGAGUUUUGACAAAUGCAUACGGUCAUGUAACUAACACCAAAAUCAAGGUACAGAACAGUUUCACCCCCCAAAAGAGUUCCCUUGUGCCCUUUGUAGACAAACGCUCCUGCUUAGCCGCUGGCAAUCACUGAUCUGUUUUCUAUCCUUGUAGUUUUGCCUUUUCCAGAAUGUCAUAAAGAUGGGAGUAAAUUUAUGUAGCCUCUCUGUGUCUGGCUUCUUUUGCUCAACCAAUGCAUUUGAAAUGAAUCCAUGUUGUCCAUGUAUUCAUGGUCUGUUCCUUUCUACUGCUGAGUAAUAUUCCACUGCAGAGAUGUCCACACAAUGUUUACUCAUUCAUCAUUUAAAAGACAUUUGUGUUGUUUUCAGUUUGGGGCUAUUAUGAAUAAAGCCAUUAUAAACAUUCACGUCCAAGUUUUUGUGUGAACAUAUGUGUUCAUUUCUCCUGGGUAAAUGGUUAGGAGGAAGAUUUCUGGCUCACAUGGUAAGUGUAUGUUUAACUUUGCAGGAAACUGCCCAACUGUUUUCCAAAGUUGUCCUACCAGCUUGUGCUCCCAGCAGCAAUGCAUGAGAGCACUGCAUCGUGGGACUGUCAGCAUUUUUAGCUGUUCAAAUAUGGGCAUAUUGGUAUCUCAUGCUGGUUUAAACUUACCUUUCUCUAGUGACGAACGAUGCUGAACACGUUUUUUAUGAUGAUUUGUUCAUAUAUCUUCUUUGACAAAGUGUCUGUUCAAACUUUUUUUUUUUUGAGGAAGAUUAGCACUGAGCUAACAUCUGCUGCGAAUCCUCCUCUUUUUGCUGAGGAAGACUGGCCCUGAGCUAACAUCCGUGCCCGUCUUCCUCUACUUUAUAUGUGGGAAGCCACAGCAGGGCUUGCCAAGCGGUGCCAUGUCUGCUCCCAGGAUCCGAACCAGCAAACCCAGGGCUGCCAAAGCUGAACAUGCGAACUUAACCACUGCACCACUGGGCCUGCCCUGUUCAAAUUUUUUAUUGGAUUAUUUGUUUUCUUUUUAUUUAAUUUGGAAGUCUUUUACAUAUUUUAGAUAAGUUCUUUAUCUGAUAUGUGUUUUGCAAAUACUGUCCCCUAGUGUGUGGCUUGCUUUUUAAUUUCUUAACAGUGUCUUUUUAAGAACAAUUUUUCAUUUUGGUGAAGUCCAAUUUAUCAACUUUUUUCUUUCAUGUGUUACAUUUUUUGUAUCAUAUUUAAGGAAUAUUUGUCUAAUCCAAAGUCUUAAAGAUUUUCUGCUGUUUUCUUCUAGAAGUUUUAUAAUUUUACAUUUAGGUUUAUGAUCGAUUUUGAAUUUGCUUUUAUACAUGGUAUGAGAUAUAGAUUAAAGUUGUGUAUAUUUACCAUGGUGAGCUUUUUUAGUUGUUUUCCUGCAAAGGUAAUAUUAAAUCAAGGAUGCGUCUUACAAAUGAUAGAGUCUUCAACUGAAAGAAGUACAAGAAAUACAAGACUGGC
Molecule: long non-coding RNA, 22308 nt
Filed under: Equus caballus (horse)
Lineage: Eukaryota; Metazoa; Chordata; Mammalia; Perissodactyla; Equidae
Description: lncRNA (ENSECAG00000046548.1)
Source: RNAcentral